AUUGAACGCUGGCGGCAGGCCUAACACAUGCAAGUCGAGCGGAUGAAGGGAGCUUGCUCCUGGAUUCAGCGGCGGACGGGUGAGUAAUGCCUAGGAAUCUGCCUGGUAUUGGGGGAUAACGUCCGGAAACGGGCGCUAAUACCGCAUACGUCCUGAGGGAGAAAGUGGGGGAUCUUCGGACCUCACGCUAUCAGAUGAGCCUAGGUCGGAUUGGCUAGUUGGUGGGGUAAAGGACUACCAAGGCGACGAUCCGUAACUGGUCUGAGAGGAUGAUCAGUCACACUGGAACUGAGAAACGGUACAGACACCUACGGGAGGCAGGAGUGGGGAAUAUUGGACAAUGGGCGAAAGACUGAGCCAGCCAUGCAGCGUGUGUGAAGAAGGUCUUCGGAUUGUAAAGCACUUUAAGUUGGGGGAAGGGAAGUAAGUUAAUACCUUGCUGGUUUGACGUUACCAACAGAAUAAGCACCGGCUAACUUCGUG
This 483-nucleotide ribosomal RNA is filed under the name uncultured bacterium. Its description in RNAcentral is "partial 16S ribosomal RNA". It matches the Rfam family "Bacterial small subunit ribosomal RNA", at positions 30 to 507 of the family's 1533-position model. The record is from RNAcentral.